This 1120-nucleotide ribosomal RNA is filed under the name Escherichia coli. RNAcentral describes it as "partial 23S ribosomal RNA". It matches the Rfam family "Bacterial large subunit ribosomal RNA", at positions 1 to 1153 of the family's 2925-position model. Lineage: Bacteria; Pseudomonadati; Pseudomonadota; Gammaproteobacteria; Enterobacterales; Enterobacteriaceae. The record is from RNAcentral.
GGGUUGUGAGGUUAAGCGACUAAGCGUACACGGUGGAUGCCCUGGCAGUCAGAGGCGAUGAAGGACGUGCUAAUCUGCGAUAAGCGUCGGUGAGGUGAUAUGAACCGUUAUAACCGGCGAUUUCCGAAUGGGGAAACCCAGUGUGUUUCGACACACUAUCAUUAACUGAAUCCAUAGGUUAAUGAGGCGAACCGGGGGAACUGAAACAUCUAAGUACCCCGAGGAAAAGAAAUCAACCGAGAUUCCCCCAGUAGCGGCGAGCGAACGGGGAGGAGCCCAGAGCCUGAAUCAGUGUGUGUGUUAGUGGAAGCGUCUGGAAAGGCGCGCGAUACAGGGUGACAGCCCCGUACACAAAAAUGCACAUAUUGUGAGCUCGAUGAGUAGGGCGGGACACGUGGUAUCCUGUCUGAAUAUGGGGGGACCAUCCUCCAAGGCUAAAUACUCCUGACUGACCGAUAGUGAACCAGUACCGUGAGGGAAAGGCGAAAAGAACCCCGGCGAGGGGAGUGAAAAAGAACCUGAAACCGUGUACGUACAAGCAGUGGGAGCCUCUUAAUGGGGUGACUGCGUACCUUUUGUAUAAUGGGUCAGCGACUUAUAUUCUGUAGCAAGGUUAACCGAAUAGGGGAGCCGAAGGGAAACCGAGUCUUAACUGGGCGUUAAGUUGCAGGGUAUAGACCCGAAACCCGGUGAUCUAGCCAUGGGCAGGUUGAAGGUUGGGUAACACUAACUGGAGGACCGAACCGACUAAUGUUGAAAAAUUAGCGGAUGACUUGUGGCUGGGGGUGAAAGGCCAAUCAAACCGGGAGAUAGCUGGUUCUCCCCGAAAGCUAUUUAGGUAGCGCCUCGUGAAUUCAUCUCCGGGGGUAGAGCACUGUUUCGGCAAGGGGGUCAUCCCGACUUACCAACCCGAUGCAAACUGCGAAUACCGGAGAAUGUUAUCACGGGAGACACACGGCGGGUGCUAACGUCCGUCGUGAAGAGGGAAACAACCCAGACCGCCAGCUAAGGUCCCAAAGUCAUGGUUAAGUGGGAAACGAUGUGGGAAGGCCCAGACAGCCAGGAUGUUGGCUUAGAAGCAGCCAUCAUUUAAAGAAAGCGUAAUAGCUCACUGGUCGAG